Molecule: long non-coding RNA, 3989 nt
Filed under: Canis lupus familiaris (dog)
Lineage: Eukaryota; Metazoa; Chordata; Mammalia; Carnivora; Canidae
Description: lncRNA (ENSCAFG00040002115.1)
Source: RNAcentral
GAUAAGAAGAACUUUCUUUUAUGCCUUGUCUCCUAAGCUAAAAAUAAAACUUUGUACAAACAAGAGGGAAAGAAAAACACUCUAAGUCUUCUGAGGAAAGACUUAUUGAAAUUUACAAAGAUAUAUAACUUUAAAUCCAGAUCUAGGAACCUCCUGACUUCUGUCUUAGUUGUGGGUCAUCUCCCUGAUACAAAGAAGCAAACUGAAGAUAAUGCAGUUGGAGCAGUGUGGGUUCUUACCAAAACCCCCCUUAUUCAUAUCAAAAGGCUUUCACAUCCUGUAAAAGAUCUGAAUUUUGGGUACAAACGUCCUUCCUGGUGGAACUGGCAGCUGUACCUUUUCUUCUGGAAACAAGCCUUAAACAUGGAUUUCCCAGGCACUCACCCCAGUGAUGGAGCUCUCCAAUAAGCGUGUUUCCAGCACAUGACUUAAUAAUGAACCAGGCUUCUGUGUUUGGAGAUCUUGGUUGACGUUGAUACCCGACGAUGUAAGCCACUUGCUUUUUUUCUCACCAUUCUUUAAAUCUCUGCUCUUUGAACAGUGAGCCUAGAAAACCCUGGGUGCCCCCUGACCCCUGCCCUCAAAAGGAGCACAAGCCCAGGGCCAUGUGCACGCUCUCCUUCUACCUGUGACCUCACUGUGUGGCCCCAGGUGUGUUCUGUAAUUUCCAGCUCUUGUAAGGAAUAAACCUUUAUUUUAUCAAAGUUUCCUGAUGGUUAUUGCUGAGGGGGUCUGGCACUCAUAAGAACCAUAGGGGCUGGUCCAGCCACAACAUUAUUCACUGAUUGGUUGAAACCUGCACAGAAUGAUGCCACAGAGAAUUUAUUAUCGGGAAAAAUGUUUCUACAACUCAGGAAGUGCAUUUGUCAGUUGGCCAAUCCAGAGAAUAGAAGGGUAAUAUCCACAAUUGCUUGCUUAGUUUUCACUAGGAAUUAAGGAUUUUAAGAGUUCAAAAGUCUGAUCAAUACAUGUAAUUAAAACUACUUUCAAAUAAUAAAGGAAAGUAAAUGAUGGCUUGCUCCAGAAUGAGAAAAAGGGGGAAGAACCAGGAAAAAACAUCUGAACAUACAUAAAAAAAGGCUGUAGAAGAUUUAUGGAAAAGGGAUCUUGGGAGAGGAACUUUAUGUGUAGUCAAGCGAGGACGGGAAUGGAUUUAAGAUUUAAAAAAAAUGAGUUUCGGUAUCAGUACACUAGAGCAAAAUUAGAAUUUGAGUUUUCUACUUUAAAAGCUUUCUUAGAUUAUUGACAUUCCUUCAGUAGGAACCCUAUGUUUCUUAAGCAAUCUGCCUGCAUAGCAAAAAUUGUGUGUUUUACCGAGUAAUUUCCUGAGCUUCAGGUUUUCAUCCUUUCUGAUUUCUUAAGGAAACCCAGUCUCUUGUUCUCAGGGGUGCUAAGCAGUUUCACACCUAUGUAGAGUUCAGUACUUGCUUUUAGAAUCCUGUUCCCAUGUCCCCUAAAUCAGUAUUUUAAUCUGUGAUCCUAUUUAAUCAAAUGUUCAAACGUUUUGGUGGUUUCCCAAAAUCAAAUGCUAAAUAGUCUGUGUCAAAUUAACUUUGAGAUUUUCCAGCAAGUCUCUGGAAAAUCUCAAAAUAUUUGUCUUUCACAUUGUAAAAGAGAUGUUAGAUUAACUAGGUUUAUUUGGUUUGCUAAAUGAUGCGGGGCAUCGUCAAGUAAUGAUAAACCUGCAGUUAUAUAUGUGGGUAUGUUACUAAUACAGGUAUUAUAGAAAGCACCUGCAGUUCAUGGAAACUUGUCAAAAAUGUCCACUAAGUACCUUAAAUUGUCACUUAAUUAUUGCCUCGUAAUAACUACACCUGCUUAUCCUGUGAACUCUGAACAAUACUUUAACCAUGGCCAUUCCUAAGUCUUUGUCAUUUACAGUAAUUUUUUUUUCUGAUGCUUUUGGCAAAGUGUGUGUAUAAAACUGUUUCAUCUUCAGGGAGACUCUUAAAACCUGUAGGAUGUUUCAAAAGCAUUGUUUUGUUUUUCCAGAUUAUACAAAUCUAUUUUUUUUCCUAAGCUAUCAACAAUUGGGUAAAAUAGACCUUUGUGAAUGAAGAUGAUUAAUCUUUUCCUUCCUAUCUGAUCCCUCCAGAAUGCAGAAGCUCUUAGCUUUAUUGCCAUAACAAUACUACUUCCAAAAGUUUAAUAAGAACCUGUCUUUUUUGUAACAGGACCCAAGUGGAAGCUUUGGCUAUAUUAGCAAGGUUUUGACCAAGACAUCAUAUUUGAGAAUGGUAUAGACUCAGAGCUGACCCAAGAGCUUUGAGGGACUAAGUUGAGUUAUGGCGUCAGUAACACCCCUUAGAAAAAUCAGUGUUGGUGUAUUGUUACAGGGUUCCCAGCAGCCUGAUAUGGUUGAAUGAGAAAGAUCACUUCUAGGCAGGCCCAGGAGCCUCUGGGUAUUUGGGGCAGUUUGAAGAAAACUCCAAUCUUAGAGCCACUGCAGGUGAGAUCUGAUGGUGCGUCUUGAUUGGCUUCUUAAUCUUGAGAUUGUAAAAGUCGAAUCUGAUAUUCCUUAAAAAUCUGGUAAAGCAGACUUAAGCUAUCUGGCCAAUCACUAUUUGGCAAACAAUAAUUUUUUAUUAUCUUUGACUAGAAAUAAGUAAUUGUAGAGAAACUAUUUACUAAUAACCUUUGUGGGUAAAUAUUCUAAGGCUUCUAAUGUCAGACAUAUUGUUUUCUACCUACAAACUGAAUCCUGAGUUCAAGUUUCUCUGAUAUUUGGAUCUAACUCCAAAAUUUAAUUUUUUCCUAUUCUGUCUUAGAAUCACUAAGAAUAAAAAAUGCCCCUUUUCUGAAUCCAUGCAAGCUAAAGGGGAGAACUUGAUAUGAACUUAAGCAAACCACCUUCCUCAACAGCUCACGUACAGGCCAUCUUCAUGCCUGUUGUGUGCACCUACUCAGAUCACCAGAGCAAUUAAAACUUGGAAAUCUGGAAAAUGUCAGGAUGCCACUUCCUGCCCUAACUCCACAUGCAGAUGCUUCUGCCCAAUAUCUAGGACAUUCUUGUGACUGGCUGCAUUCAGGACUCCAAACCUGGGAUUAUGGUCUGUUGUAAUCAUUAGCCAUUUUUUUUUUGUUUCCGUUGAAAGUGGUUUAUUAGAUAUGGUUGCUUGCACAAUAUAGACCAAACUUGGGAGCCCACCUGUGUCUGCACCUCCAGAAAUGAGACAAAACUAGCUCAGAUGAGUUUUGACCAGAGCCAUGAGGCUGGUUGAGAUGGAACCAUGUGCCAACUAGGACUCUGCUUGGAGAAGUUUCACAGGUGAGAAUGAAGGCGGGGGAGGGGAGAACACAUCACCCCAAGAGGUUCUGUGUUGGCAUGUGGAUUGGUUUUGAGCCAAAUGCAUAGAAGACCCAGCAGACUCAGGUAAAGGUGUUUACUUGUCCCUUAACUGCCUGAAGGAAUUUACAGAGAACCUGUACCAGGGACAAACCUUUCUGCUCUAGUUCUCUACAUGGUGCAAAUGUCUGAAUAUCAAACAUCAGCCUUUCUCCUCUUCCUGAGGCUUCUCACCCUAUUAGGAUCCUGGAGCCCUACUGUGCUUUCCUAAGGAUGGUGGUGUCCAGGGCGCAAUGUCCUGAGCACCUGUGAUUCUAAUUUUAUAGUUUUCCUAUACAUAUAAAGUUUUUCUCCUGCCAAUCUGUCUUACUAAUUAGACCAAAGAACCUAAAAGGGAAGAGGGAAAAAUUGCCCACCCCUUCAGAUUGGGAAAAACUCUAAAAGUCUCUCCACCAAGAACCCCUCUUUCUGGGGACUGCUGCAGGGGAGAUCUUGGGACUCCCGACAGAAGCUGGCAGAAAUGAAGAACUUUCACCGUGUGGGUCUCCUGGAUCUCUGCCGGCAAGGUCUGGUGAAAGUGGGGGUGCUGAGCAUUCCUUUUCCUUUUUCCAAAUUAGGAUUAGUCAGAAGAAUCACUUGGGGAGCCUAGUGCAUCAGGUGGAUGACUCCGGUAAAGACUUAAAGUGAGUCCUGUUGUUUCCUC